GAUGAACGCUGGCGGCGUGCCUAAUACAUGCAAGUCGAGCGAACAGACGAGGAGCUUGCUCCUCUGAUGUUAGCGGCGGACGGGUGAGUAACACGUGGAUAACCUACCUAUAAGACUGGGAUAACUUCGGGAAACCGGAUCUAAUACCGGAUAACAUGUUGAACCGCAUGGUUCAACAGUGAAAGACGGUCUUGCUGUCACUUAUAGAUGGAUCCGCGCCGCAUUAGCUAGUUGGUAAGGUAACGGCUUACCAAGGCAACGAUGCGUAGCCGACCUGAGAGGGUGAUCGGCCACACUGGAACUGAGACACGGUCCAGACUCCUACGGGAGGCAGCAGUAGGGAAUCUUCCGCAAUGGGCGAAAGCCUGACGGAGCAACGCCGCGUGAGUGAAGAAGGUCUUCGGAUCGUAAAACUCUGUUAUUAGGGAAGAACAAAUGUGUAAGAAACUAUGCACGUCUUGACGGUACCUAAACAGAAAGCCACGGCUAACUACGUG
Molecule: ribosomal RNA, 497 nt
Filed under: uncultured bacterium
Lineage: Bacteria
Description: partial 16S ribosomal RNA
Rfam family: Bacterial small subunit ribosomal RNA
Source: RNAcentral